AAUGCACCAAUUUGUAAGUCGCUCUGAAUAAGAGCGCCUGCUAAAUGACGUAAA
Salmo salar (Atlantic salmon) is the source of this 54-nucleotide non-coding RNA. Lineage: Eukaryota; Metazoa; Chordata; Actinopteri; Salmoniformes; Salmonidae. The record is from Rfam.